CGGGGCUGCGUGCUAUACAUGCAAGUCGAGCGGAUCUUUGAGAAGCUUUGCUUCUCUAAAGAUUAGCGGCGGACGGGUGAGUAACACGUGGGCAACCUGCCUGUAAGACUGGGAUAACUCCGGGAAACCGGGGCUAAUACCGGAUAAUUCAUUUCCUCUCAUGAGGGAAUGCUGAAAGACGGUUUCGGCUGUCACUUACAGAUGGGCCCGCGGCGCAUUAGCUAGUUGGUGAGGUAACGGCUCACCAAGGCAACGAUGCGUAGCCGACCUGAGAGGGUGAUCGGCCACACUGGGACUGAGACACGGCCCAGACUCCUACGGGAGGCAGCAGUAGGGAAUCUUCCGCAAUGGACGAAAGUCUGACGGAGCAACGCCGCGUGAGCGAUGAAGGCCUUCGGGUCGUAAAGCUCUGUUGUUAGGGAAGAACAAGUAUCGGAGUAACUGCCGGUACCUUGACGGUACCUAACCAGAAAGCCACGGCUAACUACGUGCCAGCAGCCGCGGUAAUACGUAGGUGGCAAGCGUUGUCCGGAAUUAUUGGGCGUAAAGCGCGCGCAGGUGGUUCCUUAAGUCUGAUGUGAAAGCCCACGGCUCAACCGUGGAGGGUCAUUGGAAACUGGGGAACUUGAGUGCAGAAGAGGAAAGUGGAAUUCCACGUGUAGCGGUGAAAUGCGUAGAGAUGUGGAGGAACACCAG
This 696-nucleotide ribosomal RNA is filed under the name Cytobacillus horneckiae. Its description in RNAcentral is "bacterial SSU rRNA". It matches the Rfam family "Bacterial small subunit ribosomal RNA", at positions 36 to 712 of the family's 1533-position model. The record is from RNAcentral. Lineage: Bacteria; Bacillati; Bacillota; Bacilli; Caryophanales; Bacillaceae.